UUCAUCCAGACGUGUAAGAAGAGCUUAGUGACAGUGUAAACAAACAAACAAAACGAAAAAGAUGAAUCCUGCUUUUUUUAUAAAAAUUGAACAACUUUUAUUUUUUUUUUUGAAAGGAGAGAAAUUAAA
RNAcentral lists this non-coding RNA (129 nucleotides) under Chloropicon mariensis. Lineage: Eukaryota; Viridiplantae; Chlorophyta; Chloropicophyceae; Chloropicales; Chloropicaceae. The record is from RNAcentral.